This 424-nucleotide long non-coding RNA is filed under the name Daphnia magna. Its description in RNAcentral is "uncharacterized LOC123473674". Lineage: Eukaryota; Metazoa; Arthropoda; Branchiopoda; Diplostraca; Daphniidae. The record is from RNAcentral.
GUUUAGCCGCUGAAUGGUGUUUCAUUCCCAUGCUAAAGUGCGAAACAACGUUGCGAAACAGAAGGCUGCUGGAUGGCUUGCGAAAGCGCGAAAUGUUAAUAUUUCAAUAAAUAAAAAAAGAAAAUUUUAACAGGAAUCGCAGGCUUUUACAUUUCUGACAGAGCCAAACAGUCUCAUGAGUUUUUUCAGGCCAAAUUUUACAUGCUAUGGAACCAUUCAAGGCCCUCAGAGGAGAGCACUGGAGAACAUCCCAGUUAGCCCACGGUUUUACAUUUUUUGGUUUAAACUCAAUUUAAUUCAAUAAAUUAAUUUCAUUUACUUCAAUCGGAUUCUAAACACAUUGUUAUAUUUAAAAUGCUAGUUUUUUAUUCCCCAUUGUGUUUAGUUUCCUAUUAGCCAAUACAAGUUAGCAAUUCAUCGAGAA